ACAGCGCGUAGCUUAACUAAAGCACCUUGCUUACACCAAGAACAUGCCAGAUUACAUCUUGCCGCACUGA
This 70-nucleotide transfer RNA is filed under the name Proteus anguinus (olm). RNAcentral's name for it is "tRNA-Val". Lineage: Eukaryota; Metazoa; Chordata; Amphibia; Caudata; Proteidae. The record is from RNAcentral.